AGGUGUCAUGGAAGGUACUGCACAACAGCAUGAGGAGGGUCACAAGUUCUCCACUCCUGGAUCUACACUGACAGGAAGUGUGUCUCCAUGGUUCUAGACAGGAUUCUCAAAGACCCUUACAACUGACACAAUGGCACCAGCCCUGAAUCAUCUCAAGGAGUCCCAGAGGUUCUGAAGGUUUUUACAAGACCCAAACAUCUCCAGGUCUUCUCACUACAGGACACCCCAGUUAUUAAUUGGAGUAACUCAUGAGGUCAGAAGUUCCCCAGAGAAGAGGAAUGACUAUUAAACCAGUGAGUGCCACAGAUGUGCCUUGAAUAGAACCUGGGUAGGAAAAAAACCAACAUGCUGUCCAGGAGUAGCUAAGAGCUCUUGGAUAUCCUGCACUUGUUUCUGCCUUUAAAACAAAUAUUGCUGGUGCUAUCUUCACAAAAGCAUCCUAAGAUUCUGCUGUUCAUUCCUGUGAAGGAAAGAGAUCCCAGGCAUGUUGAAUUUUGUUACUGAUCAGGGAUGAGGAAGCAACACUCUUGUGUUUAGGAUAUUUUUGUUUUGCCUUGAAAAGGAAUUAUGAGCUGCUUUUUUCCUGAGUGCCAUUGCUCCCCAAGGGGCAACGACUGAAUUGGCUGAGUAGUCUUCUAGUGCAAUUUCAUGCAUUCUCCUCCCCAAAAGGAAAGAGGCCUUCCUGCUGUGCAUCCUCUUUUCCCUCAACAUGAGUCCUUCUGGCAGUUGCUUCUCUGGGUGCUCUGAACAAGUGCUCUCAGUUCCUGGUUCACUGCCACCCGUCCAUCAUGUCCCUUGCAUCAAGAGACACAACAGUGCUCUACUCUGGAGGAGAUUAACUGGCUGUCACUGCUGGGGAACUGCAAACCACUACCAGUUUGUGGAUCAUCCUGUUAAUUAAUGCCAGGUUUUUUUUUAAAAAAAUGUGUGUGUGUGUGUGUGUGUUACACCCUGUGUUUUUCCACAUGUCACUAGCUGCAACCAGUUCAUUGGCUUGAAGGAAAGGAAACACUGAAUGGGAUCACCAUCUCCCAAGUCACCGUUAUUUCCCAAGCAUCUGUGACUAUUGUGUUUGGAGGCCUAGUAAGAAAAAACAGUUUUGGAAGCUCAUCUGUUCUAUUUUGAGAUCAUAUCACAAGUGGGUGGCUCUGCUAAAGGAAAGAAAGCAGGAUUCCACUUCAAGAAGAAGAAGCGGGAUUGGACACUUGUGGCCCCACAAAAGUUCUCGGACUGGCUGUGAUGGGUCCCCCAUCUAGGUUGGCCACACUGUUCCAAACCUUGCCCCUUUACACCUCAAAACACCUCCCUGGAUCUGGUAACCAAAAUGUUCCCUGUUAUGGACAAGUUGCUCUGUUGAUCAGUGAGUUCAAUGUGGUAAGCAUGUCCAGUCUCCUUACCAAUUCCUAAAUGGAACAGAGUAAGUUGUAGAAAAUAAACAAGUGAAGAUAUAUUAUAUAACAAAUAUAUUAAACAAGAAAUCCCUGAACUCUUUCCUCAUGCACAGCUACCAAAACCUUAUUCAAAUUUCCCUCCUUGCAUCUGGCUAUCUUCACUGUAUCCCAUCUUUUCUUCUUUAGCAGACAAACUUCUAGUUUGUACCCUUUCUGCCCUCUUGUUGCCUCCAGACCCCAUUACAGCAUUCCUUGAACUGUGAUUGGCUGCCUUUAACCAGACUAGACCUAUUUCUCUUCACACUGCAAUCCCCAUCAUCUGCCACUACUGACUUGCUGACCAGGGCUGAUGGGAGUUACAGUCCAACAACCUUUGGAGGGCCACUAAUUACCCACGUCUGCAUCAAAAUAAGCAACCCGAAUCUUGAUCAGAUUACCUUCUUAUUAAGGCGGGCUUUCAAUAACUGACUCUGCUGAGGAAGGCAUUUUUAAAAGGAGAGCUCUACUUGUUCUCCCCCAAUUGCACCCCAUGCGUUUCUAAGUGGCUUUUAAUGUACUUUAUUUAAUACAAUAAGCUGUUUAAUUGUGGUUUAAUGUUAUAAUCUAUACUUUAAAGAAAUGUUAAAAACAUGUUGGAUUCAAGUUUCAGGAGAAAGAUAGGAUAUAAAUAAACACAUAAUAAGAGAGCAUAAUGGCCAUCAACACCAGCCUUGUGAAUGUUUCAGUUUGUAAACUUGGGCCUUGAUUCCAAGAUGGCUAACCCAAAACUGGCCCAGUGCUAUGUUCCUUCUCCCUCAACAGUUUGCUAUAGUAGGCCACAGAGGUAUUCAUAUUUUUGAAACUCGUUAAAAGCCCUGCAUCAAACUGUCUCUUCUUCAAUGGAUGGAAAAAGCUUGGUUCCCACUACACACUCUCCAAGAAGCUUGUUAAACUUCAGGUUAAAUUGGCCGUUAAUGCAAAUAUAACAACUGUGUUAUCAAGAAUGUGCAUUUGAUUUUUCAUCUAUGUCCAGUUUUGCAUAUUCAGUAUUUUCAACAAGAAUUGCACGAUUAAAG
Long non-coding RNA from Sceloporus undulatus (fence lizard), 2446 nucleotides. RefSeq lists it as uncharacterized. NCBI's taxonomy places the organism in Eukaryota, Metazoa, Chordata, Lepidosauria, Squamata, Phrynosomatidae. The record is from RefSeq and is a predicted model, not a curated record. The transcript has 4 exons.